GUUUGGAAAUGAAAAACCGUAAAUUUGAAGUAAACUCACAGUGAUCUAUCUGCUCACUAUCCCCUUGAAGUGUUCACCUUCUGGGGGUAUCUUCACAACUCAUGAGGAUCCCCUUUCUCUAAGAAUGUCCCACACCGCCCCAGCAACCACCACCAUACAGUAGGACCAGUCCACCUGCCUGGAAAACAUCCUUGCUUGGAAGCAGCAGCAGCUUGAUGGGCCCCUCUGUCUUUAUGCCCCACCCCACCCCCACUAAUGGCCACAGUUGGUUUGACCAGAGGUGGAGUCCCAAUUCAAAGUGGGCCAAUCAGUUGCUCUCUUCAAGGGAUCUAGGCUUGAGAUGACCACCUCACCUUGGGGGAGCUGAGAAAACUGAUCUACCAAGAGAAACUAAGGGUUUCUGAAGAGAGUAGAGACCACCCAUGAGAGAGAGAGACAGACAGAGAGACAGAGAGAUUGGGAAACAGACUGACCAGAGAGAGGGACCUGGAAAGUGGAGAGAAACAGAAACAAAAUCUGAAAGACAGUCUGAGAAAAACAGCAUGUAGGGCAAGAGCGAGUUAGAGCUUGAGAGAGCAAAAAUCCCUGAGAGGGAAUAAGAGAAUCAAAGCCAGAGAGGGUGAUGGGGUGGAUUCUGAUGGCUUUGCAGUUCUGGGUUCCGUCCUUCCUGAGCUCUCCUGGCACAGCCGCCCCUGUUACUUGUAACCAAAAGCCUUCAGUGCACAAUUCCACCUCAGCUCCUCAGCUCCAGUUGUCCCUUUGCCUGAAACUCCACCUGUCCCUGUACCGCCUCUGACUUGGCUUAAGUCUUCUAGUCUUUCAAAACUGUUCUUGUCCUGACAUCUUGGUGAUGUUUUCCUCUAUCACCUUCAGCUGCUAACGCUCUCCAAACUCUAGAGACUGUUCUGCCUGGAAAACAUGCAUGCUUGGAAACAGAAGCAGCCUGAUGGGGCCCCUUUAUCUGCCUGUGGCCUUUCUGCCUGCCAUCUGGGGUCCAUCCUUGUACAGCUCACUCUUGGGACCUGGCUGAUCCACCACUGUACAGCAGGCUGAGACCAAAACCCCAGGGCUUUUCUAAAAUGACUGCUCUGUCCACCCAGUGUGUAGAGUCUCCACAGAGGAAGGGAACACCCGGAACACCCGAUGAAUCAUCAGCAGUUUGGUGAAGCAAAGGCAUCCUGGGAAUUGUGCUGUUAGCCUCACGAAAAAGACUGUAGAGAUGGUUUAGAUUCUCAUCUACACCAACUCCCUCAUUUAAAAAAAUAUUCAUUCAUUCAUUCAUUCAUUUUUGAGAGAGAAUGAACAUAUAACAUAUUAGUUUUAAGUAUACGAUCAACUCUUUCAUUUAUAGAUCAGGAAAAUGAGGUCCAGGAGAAGCAGACCAAAAUCACACUGCUAGCAGGGAGCGUGUCUGUCUUUGGAACCAAGAUGCUUAGAAAUUAGGUCACAUGAGUUCAACUCCAUAGUGUUUCCUCAUCUGAAAGAGAGGUAUCUGGCACUCCCUCCAGCCUCUACAAGCUGUUUCUGCUUGUGCCCUUGCGCCCUUACACCUGACAGCCAUACCUUCAGCAAACCAGCUCCUAGCUAUCAUUCAUAUUAGAUGUCACCUCCUUCAGGAAGCCUUCUCUGACCCCAACCCCUCCAAGACUGGUGCCCCCGUGUGUACUAGAUUUUAUAAACACAUAAAGGCCGCUCUGUUGCACACAUGGAUUGACACAGAGUAGGCAGUCAAUAAAUAUUUGGUGAGUGAAGAAAAACAUCAGGUACCAGCUACUGUCUGCUAGAGUCCAUUUAUUCAGGCCCUCAAUGGAGAACAGAAAGGGAAGGGUAUGGAGUGAGAGAACCCAAUCAGCCGACUUUUUCCAGCACCCUCUCUUUGUGAGUUUGAAGGGAACCGGGUAGUCAGGUUGAAGCACUGGCUCCCUAAGCUGUGAAGCAUCUGUGCUGCCGAUAGCUGAACACUUGACCCCUCAGCAGGGGCAGUCAAGUUCCCCAAAGAGUCAGUGAGGGCCGCUCCCCAGAAAGUGUUUUUGGAAGUGGGUCAAGGAGUGAUCACAAGGCCACUAGGCCCCAGCCCUGCAUUCACUCAUUUUCUUGGAGGUCAUGAGGAUAGGGUGCUCAGCCAGAGAAAUUUCUAAUUGAUUAUGAACCAAACCCUUGGGAGCUGGGCAGAUGCUGAUUCAAGAGCACAAAAUCUAGUCCAGGCCAGAGGUGGCCAAAAGGAGCCGCAACUGGGCCAGCCAGGAGAGGAAAGCUUUCUAUCUUGAUUAUAAAUGAUGCCUUCUCCUCCCCGAGUCCCCUUGGCCUCUUCCCUGACAGAUUCUGGAAGGAUUGGGAAAGGGGCAGUCUGUGUCUCAUCCAACCCCAUGCUCCACCACCCUGACUCUAGAUGCCUCCAAGAUUAUUCUGGCACCAUCCACUGGCCUCUGAUUUACUAUUUUAAACCAAAUACUUUUUCCAAAAGCCCUUUCCAUUUGGACUAGUUAUUUUACUCAAGGGGCAGGGGCUGUUAUGCACAACAGAGAUCUGGUAUCUGGAAAAGCUAGGCAUCUUUAGAAGAGCUUGGAAUAAAAUUUAAAAAAAGAAAAAGAAAAAAAA
RNAcentral lists this long non-coding RNA (2598 nucleotides) under Canis lupus familiaris (dog). Its description in RNAcentral is "lncRNA (ENSCAFG00000051122.1)". The record is from RNAcentral. Lineage: Eukaryota; Metazoa; Chordata; Mammalia; Carnivora; Canidae.